Molecule: ribosomal RNA, 498 nt
Filed under: uncultured bacterium
Lineage: Bacteria
Description: bacterial SSU rRNA
Rfam family: Bacterial small subunit ribosomal RNA
Source: RNAcentral
CCUGGCGGUAGGCUACACAUGCAAGUCGAACGGCAGCACAGGAGAGCUUGCUCUCUGGGUGGCGAGUGGCGGACGGGUGAGGAAUACAUCGGAAUCUACCUUUUCGUGGGGGAUAACGUAGGGAAACUUACGCUAAUACCGCAUACGACCUUCGGGUGAAAGCAGGGGACCUUCGGGCCUUGCGCGGAUAGAUGAGCCGAUGUCGGAUUAGCUAGUUGGCGGGGUAAAGGCCCACCAAGGCGACGAUCCGUAGCUGGUCUGAGAGGAUGAUCAGCCACACUGGAACUGAGACACGGUCCAGACUCCUACGGGAGGCAGCAGUGGGGAACAUUGGACAAUGGGCGCAAGCCUGAUCCAGCCAUACCGCGUGGGUGAAGAAGGCCUUCGGGUUGUAAAGCCCUUUUGUUGGGAAAGAAAAGCAGUCGGCUAAUACCCGGUUGUUCUGACGGUACCCAAAGAAUAAGCACCGGCUAACUUCGUGCCAGCAGCCGCGGUAAU